UGUUAGAGAAAAGUUCAUCAACAUCCACCAUUACAUCAGCUGCAGUGGAUUGAAUAGGAGUAUUCACUUCAUCUUCUGAAUCAGUGGAGUUGUCUUGCAGUGAAUCCUCUCCUUCAGAUUGAGCAUUGUCAUCUGAGGAUGUCUGUGCAUCUUCCACUAUCACCUCUGCUUGAAUUUGAGAAGUUUGAGUCUCAGGAAUGUCCGCUUGAUGAGACGACUCAGGAACUCCUGCACUUUGUGUUUCAGAGACCUCCUCUUCCUGAACCACAGGAUCAGCAACAUUUUGAAUGUGUGGUGGAGGCAAGUUCUGGUUGUUUAAGAAUUCUUGCAUUGCCUCCGGAAGAACCACAUCCUCAUUGUUUGUGUAGU
RNAcentral lists this long non-coding RNA (369 nucleotides) under Daucus carota (carrot). RNAcentral's name for it is "long non-coding RNA (DCAR_LNC000971)". Lineage: Eukaryota; Viridiplantae; Streptophyta; Magnoliopsida; Apiales; Apiaceae. The record is from RNAcentral.